RNAcentral lists this ribosomal RNA (730 nucleotides) under uncultured bacterium. RNAcentral describes it as "bacterial SSU rRNA". It matches the Rfam family "Bacterial small subunit ribosomal RNA", at positions 771 to 1501 of the family's 1533-position model. The record is from RNAcentral.
AACAGGAUUAGAUACCCUGGUAGUCCACGCCAUAAACGAUGUCGACUUGGAGGUUGUGCCCUUGAGGCGUGGCUUCCGGAGCUAACGCGUUAAAUCGACCGCCUGGGGAGUACGGCCGCAAGGUUAAAACUCAAAUGAAUUGACGGGGGCCCGCACAAGCGGUGGAGCAUGUGGUUUAAUUCGAUGCAACGCGAAGAACCUUACCUGGUCUUGACAUCCACAGAACUUUCCAGAGAUGGAUUGGUGCCUUCGGGAACUGUGAGACAGGUGCUGCAUGGCUGUCGUCAGCUCGUGUUGUGAAAUGUUGGGUUAAGUCCCGCAACGAGCGCAACCCUUAUCCUUUGUUGCCAGCGGUUAGGCCGGGAACUCAAAGGAGACUGCCAGUGAUAAACUGGAGGAAGGUGGGGAUGACGUCAAGUCAUCAUGGCCCUUACGACCAGGGAUACACACGUGCUACAAUGGCAUAUACAAAGAGAAGCGACCUCGCGAGAGCAAGCGGACCUCAUAAAGUAUGUCGUAGUCCGGAUUGGAGUCUGCAACUCGACCCCAUGAAGUCGGAAUCGCUAGUAAUCGUAGAUCAGAAUGCUACGGUGAAUACGUACCCGGGCCUUGUACACACCGCCCGUCACACCAUGGGAGUGGGUUGCAAAAGAAGUAGGUAGCUUAACCUUCGGGAGGGCGCUUACCACUUUGUGAUUCAUGACUGGGGUGAAGUCGUAACAAGGUAACC